UACCAGACUCCUACGGGAGGCAGCAGUGGGGAAUAUUGCACAAUGGGGGAAACCCUGAUGCAGCGACGCCGCGUGAGUGAAGAAGUAUUUCGGUAUGUAAAGCUCUAUCAGCAGGAAAGAAAAUGACGGUACCUGACUAAGAAGCCCCGGCUAACUACGUGCCAGCAGCCGCGGUAAUACGUAGGGGGCAAGCGUUAUCCGGAUUUACUGGGUGUAAAGGGAGCGUAGACGGUGAAGCAAGUCUGAAGUGAAAGGGGGGGGCUCAACCCCCGGACUGCUUUGGAAACUGUUUGACUGGAGUGCAGGAGAGGUAAGUGGAAUUCCUAGUGUAGCGGUGAAAUGCGUAGAUAUUAGGAGGAACACCAGUGGCGAAGACGGCUUACUGGACUGUAACUGACGUUGAGGCUCGAAAGCGUGGGGAGCAAACAGGAUUAGAUACCCGUGUA
Molecule: ribosomal RNA, 446 nt
Filed under: uncultured bacterium
Lineage: Bacteria
Description: partial 16S ribosomal RNA
Rfam family: Bacterial small subunit ribosomal RNA
Source: RNAcentral